UUCCAUCUUUGACACCAGAAGAAUUGUUUGUCCGAGUAUCUAGUUGUGCAAAUAUGAGCUUUCAACCCACAAUUACAAUAAAUACUAGGCUCGUACUCCAUAUUUGCACUCACCCAUGAUGAAUUCGAGGAAGAUGACAUCUUCAACACUCUUUUAUGUGUUGAUCUUG
Molecule: long non-coding RNA, 169 nt
Organism: Ipomoea nil (Japanese morning glory)
Lineage: Eukaryota; Viridiplantae; Streptophyta; Magnoliopsida; Solanales; Convolvulaceae
Exons: 3
Source: RefSeq, a predicted model, not a curated record